GACGAACGCUGGCGGCGUGCUUAACACAUGCAAGUCGAACGGAAAGGCCCCUUUGGGGGUACUCGAGUGGCGAACGGGUGAGUAACACGUGAGUAACCUGCCCUUGACUUCGGGAUAACUUCAGGAAACUGGGGCUAAUACCGGAUAGGAAUCCUUGCUGCAUGGUGGGGGUUGGAAAGCUUCGGCGGUUUUGGACGGACUCGCGGCUUAUCAGCUUGUUGGUGGGGUAGUGGCUUACCAAGGCUUUGACGGGUAGCCGGCCUGAGAGGGCGACCGGCCACAUUGGGACCGAGAUACGGCCCAGACUCCUACGGGAGGCAGCAGUGGGGAAUAUUGCACAAUGGGCGGAAGCCUGAUGCAGCAACGCCGCGUGCGGGAUGACGGCCUUCGGGUUGUAAACCGCUUUCAGCAGGGGCGAAGCUUGUGGUGACGGUACCUGCAGAAGAAGCACCGGCUAACUACGUG
Molecule: ribosomal RNA, 465 nt
Filed under: uncultured bacterium
Lineage: Bacteria
Description: partial 16S ribosomal RNA
Rfam family: Bacterial small subunit ribosomal RNA
Source: RNAcentral